GACGAACGCUGGCGGUGUGCUUAACACAUGCAAGUGGCGCGACGAACCAGAGCUUGCUCUGGGGCAAAGCCGCGAACGGGUGAGUAACACGUGGGUAAUCUACCCCGAUGACCGGGACAACCCGAGGAAACUCGGGCUAAUACCGGAUGUGGUACGGAGACAUAAGUCUCUUUACUAAAGGUAGCUUCGGCUUCCGCAUUGGGAGGGGCCCGCAGCCCAUUAGCUAGUUGGUGGGGUCAAGGCCUACCAAGGCAACGAUGGGUAGCUGGUCUGAGAGGACGAUCAGCCACACUGGGACUGAGACACGGCCCAGACUCCUACGGGAGGCAGCAGUGGGGAAUCUUGCGCAAUGCGCGAAAGCGUGACGCAGCAACACCGCGUGAGGGAAGACGGCCUUAGGGUUGUAAACCUCUUUCAGAUGGGACGAAGGUGAUGCGGUGAAUAGCCGAUGUCAUUGACGGUACCGUCAGAAGAAGCUCCGGCUAACUAACGUGCCAGCAGCCGCGGUAAUC
Molecule: ribosomal RNA, 512 nt
Filed under: uncultured bacterium
Lineage: Bacteria
Description: bacterial SSU rRNA
Rfam family: Bacterial small subunit ribosomal RNA
Source: RNAcentral